RNAcentral lists this long non-coding RNA (1986 nucleotides) under Marmota monax (woodchuck). Lineage: Eukaryota; Metazoa; Chordata; Mammalia; Rodentia; Sciuridae. The record is from RNAcentral.
GUAGAGCACUCACCUAGCACGUGCAAGGCCCUGGGUUUGAUCCUCAGCACCACAUAAAAAUAAAUAAAAUAAAGGUAUUAGGCUGGGGUUGUGGCUCAGUGGUAGCACUCUUUCCUAGCAUGUGUGACAUACUGGGUUCAAUUCUCAGCACCACAUACAAAUAAAUAAAAUAAAGGUCCAUCAACAACUAAAAAAUAUUUUUAAAAAUAAUUUUAAAAUAAUAAAGGUAUUGUGUCCAACUAAAAAAUAUAUUUUUUUAACAUCAGCCACGGGGUAAGCACCGAGGCAUCUACCAAGCCUCAAAGCCCCCAUUAAAGACCGCAUUCUUUUUUUCCCUUUGGACAAAGCAAAUAGUAAGUGGCAGGCUGGGCCAGGCACUGGGAACAGGGGGGAACUGUGGUCACAGAGUUCCACAUCCCACUACACUGUUGGCCUUCAUCUCUCCUCAGCCUUCCACAAACACCUCCUUCCAACACUACCUCUUGCCUGUCUGUCCACCUGUUGAGUCCUGAAGGGUGCUCUGCCUGGAGACUGAGGAGAGAUGGGUGAGGUGACAUUUAACGUAUCCUGUGUCUGCCCUGGGUUGAUGCCCAAUAGAGUCCUUCAUGCUAGCCCAGUUAUAUCAGGGGCUCAUCACCCAAAUCACAUGUGAGUUCCUGCAUGUCUGUUUUGUCCUAAGACUCUUCACCUUGACAUUCGCCAAAGGCCCAGUUUAGGAAAGAGGGCUUGGCAGCCAAGUGUGAUGGGGACAGCAAUAAGAAAGGGCAAGAACAGAACUGAAGCUGGUAUGUACAUCUUUCUGAGAAGGCCACAACCAUCAAUUCCCAGUGAGGAUUGUCAAGCAGGAGGUAGAGGGCGGGGAAGAAAAGUCUUAGAAUAAAAAAUAAAAAGGGUUGAGGAUAUAGCUCAGUGGUAGAGCAUAUAAGCCUUGGGCUCAAUCCCAGCAUUAAAAAUAAAUAUAUAAAUAAGCUAAUUAAUUAAUCUAGAAAUUGAGUUCCUAAUGAUAUUUCCAGUUUGAAUUUAACGUCAUAGGGUUUUUAUUUUACCUAACUGGUUCUGUAUUUGGUUCCUAAUAGUAUUAGUAUAUUUAUUUAACUUAUGACAUUUAUUCUAUGGUUUCAAAAAAUAAUACCAAUGAUAUAUUAAAUUUUGAGUGAAGUUUAAGGUAUUUUUUGUUUUGAGGUAUAGCUAAGUUUACUAUAAGAGAAGUAAAUUAACACCCUAAAUGGAGAGAGUAGGUCAUGAAGAGGACAGUGACAACAUUCCAAAAUUCCCCUUUGUUCCCUAGUUUUUAUCUGGAUCUUAGAGAAGUUUCUAGAGAGUCCUACCAAAGUACAACUUCUCAACUUUUGACUGACCAUAGAAUUGCCUCAGAUAUUUAAGUUCCUAUUGCACAUGAUUUUACUCACAGAUACUUGAGUAAAACCUAAGGGGGUCAGUUUUGGGGGUUUUUGUUUGUUUGUUUGUUUUUUGUUUCUGUACUGGGGAUUGAACCCAAGAGCACUUAACCACUGAGUCACAUCCCCAGACUUUUUAUAUUCUAUUUGCUGAGGCUGGCUUUAAACUAACAAUCUUCCUGUCUCAGUCUCCCCAGGCUCUGGGAUUACAGGUGUAUUCCACUUCAUCUGGCUAGAUCUUUUAAUUCUAGAGACUGGGAAAUCUGAGAUCAAGGUGUCUACGUAUCAGGUGUCUGGUGACAGUCCUUGUUUGAAGGUGCCUGUCUUGUUACAUUAUCACAUGGCAGACAGCAAAGCAAUAAUUUUUUUAUAGUUCUUUUUAUCCUUUAAUAUCCUGUAAAGGAUGCCCUGUAAGGGAACUUGAAAUAGUCCUUUUUCUGGUGGUUAUUUUAUCAAUUUGAUACACAGUUAGAUUCUAUUGAUUUGUUUUCAGAUUUAUCUGGUUUUCAUUAAUUUUGGUUUUUGAUAAUAUAUAGUAUGAGUCACAUGAUGAUACAUUUGCUGUUGAGAAUCAGUUAUAGAACAUAGC